CACGUAGGGUGCGAGCGUUGUCCGGAAUUAUUGGGCGUAAAGCGCACGUAGGCGGCAUUGCAAGUCGGAUGUGAAAUCCCUCGGCUUAACCAAGGAAGUGCAUCCGAAACUGCAGUGCUUGAGUACUUAAGAGGAUCGCGGAAUUCCCGGUGUAGAGGUGAAAUUCGUAGAUAUCGGGAGGAACACCAGUGGCGAAGGCGGUCUCCUGGGGCAUUCUUGACGCUGAGGCGCGAAAGCUGGGGGAGCGAACGGG
RNAcentral lists this ribosomal RNA (253 nucleotides) under uncultured bacterium. RNAcentral's name for it is "partial 16S ribosomal RNA". It matches the Rfam family "Bacterial small subunit ribosomal RNA", at positions 524 to 776 of the family's 1533-position model. The record is from RNAcentral.